AAAAAGACAAACCCUAAAUUUUCGUGUCUAACGUUUGACUGUCCGUCUUAUAUGAAUUUUUUUUAUAAUUAGUAUUUUUAUUAUUGUUAGAUAAUAAAACAUGAUUAAUACUUUAUACCUGACUUGUCUUUUUUUUUCAUAAUUUUUUCAAAUAAAACGGACGGUCAAACGUUGGACAUGUAAAUUCAGGGUUUGCCUUUUU
Molecule: microRNA precursor, 202 nt
Organism: Oryza sativa Indica Group (long-grained rice)
Lineage: Eukaryota; Viridiplantae; Streptophyta; Magnoliopsida; Poales; Poaceae
Rfam family: MIR812 microRNA precursor family
Source: Rfam